This 428-nucleotide ribosomal RNA is filed under the name uncultured bacterium. Its description in RNAcentral is "bacterial SSU rRNA". It matches the Rfam family "Bacterial small subunit ribosomal RNA", at positions 355 to 775 of the family's 1533-position model. The record is from RNAcentral.
UCGAGAAUCAUUCGCAAUGGGCGAAAGCCUGACGAUGCGACGCCGUGUGUAUGAUGAAGGCCUUCGGGUCGUAAAGUACUUUCGCUUAGGAACAAGAGAGUUUGGCUAAUAUCCAGACGAUUUGAGAGUAUUAGGUAAAGAAGCACCGGCUAACUCCGUGCCAGCAGCUGCGGUAAUACGGAGGGUGCAAGCAUUAAUCGGAUUUAUUGGGCGUAAAGGGCGCGUAGGCGGAUAUGAAAGUCAGAUGUGAAAUCCCGGAGCUUAACUCCGGAACAGCAUUUGAAACUCCAUAUCUAGAGGAUAGAAGGAGAAAACGGAAUUCCACAAGUAGCGGUGAAAUGCGUAGAUAUGUGGAAGAACACCGGUGGCGAAGGCGGUUUUCUAUUUUAGACCUGACGCUGAGGCGCGAAAGUAAGGGGAUCAAACAG